CGUAGGUGGCAAGCGUUGUCUGGAAUUAUUGGGCGUAAAGCGCGCGCAGGCGGCUUCUUAAGUCCAUCUUAAAAGUGCGGGGCUUAACCCCGUGAUGGGAUGGAAACUGAGAGGCUGGAGUAUCGGAGAGGAAAGUGGAAUUCCUAGUGUAGCGGUGAAAUGCGUAGAGAUUAGGAAGAACACCGGUGGCGAAGGCGACUUUCUGGACGACAACUGACGCUGAGGCGCGAAAGCGUGGGGAGCAA
RNAcentral lists this ribosomal RNA (245 nucleotides) under uncultured bacterium. Its description in RNAcentral is "partial 16S ribosomal RNA". It matches the Rfam family "Bacterial small subunit ribosomal RNA", at positions 526 to 771 of the family's 1533-position model. The record is from RNAcentral.